This is a non-coding RNA of Triticum aestivum (bread wheat), 135 nucleotides long. Lineage: Eukaryota; Viridiplantae; Streptophyta; Magnoliopsida; Poales; Poaceae. The record is from Rfam.
CAAAUACUCCCUCCGUCCGGAAAUACUUGUCAUCAAAAUGGAUAAAAGGAAAUGUAUCUAGACGUAUUUUAGUUUUAGAUACAUCUCUUUUUAUCUAUUUUGAUGACAAGUAUUUUCGGACGGAGGGAGUAGAAA